CCGUGCACCGAACGGUCGGCAGGCGAUCCGCGUCUGUCUCUUGGGUGGUAUGGUUCCCCAGAGGCCCGUUCUUGUGCUGCGUACCCCCCUCAAGGGAAGAUGGCCACUCGAUGUAUGCCUCCAUCCGGCGCCUUCCAAUGGGCGCAGGAGGACAACGGAGCACCCCCCGCGUUCCACCGAGCCUUCGCCGGUCGAGUGGCCCGUGGGGACGUGCGAUGCUCUCGGACCCAGCGCACGCCGUGGGCGAGGACUCACGUCCCAGUCCCAAGAGAAGCUUCGGAUAAUGCUGACGGCCGCUCCCGCCCCCCGUUCCGCCCCGGCGGUGCGAGGGCGAGGCGCGGCGUCGCGGAGGAAUGCUACCU
This 362-nucleotide unclassified non-coding RNA is filed under the name Acacia kybeanensis. Its description in RNAcentral is "partial external transcribed spacer". Lineage: Eukaryota; Viridiplantae; Streptophyta; Magnoliopsida; Fabales; Fabaceae. The record is from RNAcentral.